This 6605-nucleotide long non-coding RNA is filed under the name Brassica rapa (field mustard). RNAcentral describes it as "long non-coding RNA (BRAP_LNC005596)". Lineage: Eukaryota; Viridiplantae; Streptophyta; Magnoliopsida; Brassicales; Brassicaceae. The record is from RNAcentral.
UAGUGUGGGCUUCGUACCCUUCAGGUCGUUUUUGAGCCUAAUAAAUGCUCAGUUUGGUUAUUGCGGGUGUGCUAGGCCUCUGCUGUUGCUGUAUGUUCGUGUGGGCAAGUGCUAUGAAGCCUUCGGCGAGCUGUUUUCGAAUGGGCCAUUAUUUUUAAGAGCGAAUCACCGGGGAGGCCAAAAUUACCGGGUUUCGACUCUCGGUUGAACUUGGCUCAUUCUUUUGCGGCAAGCGGAGUGCGGAUUUGGUCGAGCCUCGGGAUAGCGGUUUUGGUUAUUGUGUCUGCCUUGCCUUGUCAUAGCUAGCUUGAGUUUGUGUUUAGGUAUUUUUUUUCGUUUGUCUGUUUCUUGUCAUUCUCUGUAAUUCUGUCAAAAAUGAAAAAACUGGUAAUAAUAUCUUUACAUUUUUACCAAAAAAAAAAUUUGGUAGUUUAAGACUACAUAUCACUUUAAGGAAGUAGAUACAAUACAUAAGUUAAAGGCGUUUUAGUGGUGAAAUUUAUUUUUAUCAUUGUUUUUUCAAUUUUUUUUCAGUAACACAAAAUAUGUGAUAUAUUUGGACCUUUUAUAAAUUACUAAAAUGCUUUUAAAUGUAUUUACAUAGAUUUUUGGAUUACACAAAACUCUUUUUCACUCCACCUAGCUCUCCUCAUGACCACUCUUGUUUUUUCCAUAAACCUUUUCAGACUUUGGUGGUGUUUUCUUUGGGAUCAUUUUUAUGUUUGAAAUCCUCAGGCCAUUACUCGCUUUGGAUUCUUGCUUCCAACCAUCAACACUGUGGCGAAGUCGAGAAGAAUACUUCUCUUUCACCUCACGAUAUGAUGAUUUUACUACUUUGCUGCAGCUCUUUCUACGGUUAAAGUUUGGUGACUUGGGCCAAUUCAAAGAAACUGUAAUGAAGCAACCAUAAGGAUGUACAAAAUGAAGUUGGCAUAAACAAACUAAAUAAAAUACUUUCGUUUUCAUACUUUUUUAAUGGAAGUUUCAGUGGAGAAGCAUGGUAGUAGAAAUUUGGAAAUGGAGUAGCUUUGUUAUGUGUUAGUAUAAUUAACAGAAGAUGGUAAAAACUAAUCUGAGAAAAUAAAUGUCAUGUGCUUUAAAAAAUCCUAUUGAUGAUGAUCUUUUUCUUCUGAGAUCACUUCUGAGCUUUCAUCUGAAACUUCCUGAUGCUCUCUACAGUUUUCCUUGCUGCUAUAUGGAUUCUUGAAGAGAGGAUUGGUUUCAAGUUCAGACAACAUCUUCUUCUUUGAUUCAUUCAUUAGCAUCUCGAGCACUUCAGACAUUGUCAGUCUCUUCUCUGGCUCCAUCUAAGCAUAUAUUAGUCCCACGACUCCCACCAAGACAAACUUCUCAGCUUCUCUUCCAUGUUUUCCUCUUUCAGUCUCUUAUUAACGAUUUCACAAAAUUUCUUUUGAAUCUCAACUUCAAUAGAGAAAUCUAUAUCUUCUCUGUGACUCCAUACCUUGAGCCUCUUGAUUGCAACCUGCAAGAACACAAAUGAUCAGAAAAAACCGAAUAGGCCAGCAGAAUGUUUCACCUCACAUGAUGAGGUUAUAAAUAAGAAGCACGUUCUACAUAACAGUUAAGUUAAAGAGAAGAAACGCUGAGAUAAAUAUACUUGUGAACCAUCGGAGAACUGACCCCAAUACACACUGCCGAAGCGGCCUUAACCGAGUUUGUUUGUCGUAGUUAAAACUGUUUGUGGCUGAGUGAAGCUCCUCACUGAGAAUAUCUUCCGAGAUGGCUCUGUCUCCAGUAUCUUUUUUCUGUGUAAGCUUGAUGUUAAACCAAACUUAACCUAAAUUAUAUCCAAAGAAAAUCUAUUUCAGACCUACAAAUCAAGAAAGGACAAAUAGAGCCAUUUAUGAUCUUCAUCACUAUUCAACGAUGAGCUAAGUUUAUGACAAAGUAUCUGUUUAUUCAAGAAGCUUCCAACAAAAGAAAUGAACUAUACAUAAAAACCAUUAAAGACGAUGGAAAGGCAUGAAGAUUGGAGCAUAAAUAGACUCCAAAAGUGUUAUAAAUAUCUUAAACACAAAAAAGUCUUAAAUACUAAUCAGGAAGAAAAGCAUAACAUAUUUAGCCGAAAACACUUUAAAAUUAGACAAAUCCAUAAAAAAGAGGGAGAUUUUUAAAAUCAUUGGAGUCAAUGAAUUAAGAAGAUAAACAGAUAUAUACCCAUCAAAUCCUUUUCCACAACAGCUAGUAAAUGAGCGGAGUGGGAGGGGAGGUGGAGCGUAGUUUAAUGAUUAGAUUAAUGGUGGAGUUAUGAGAAGGGAAAACAUUACAAUUGUUUUUUAUCGGAACCAUAGAAAUAUGAAUGUUUAAGGCGCCUGAGCUUGAACAUGAACACUCUAAGAUAACCAAGAUACCGUGGGCCGAGAUUUUCGUAUAAUAUGGGCCCAAAAAAAUCAAACGAAAAAGACAAAAAAAAAUCAAACGAAGAGGGAUGGAACAGCGACACGUGGCGAAUUUUGGAGCAUUGUCUGCAUAGGUAAAGUGUUGAGAAGGGAGAAAAUGCAUCUUUAUUGCUAUAGAUAUUUGAUGUAAUAUCUUGUAAUGAUGGAUUUGCAGUUAGGUAUGAUUGGAGUAUUUAAAAAGUUGGCGAGGUUAUAUUGUAAAUACUAAUAAAAUGUGGGCAAUUCUAAUAAAUAAUGUGGAACUCUUCCGAACGCCAUGAGUUAAAAGACAAAUCAACCCCUCAUAAUCUCAAAACCAAAUUUCACUGAAUACGAUGGAAGGGCAAAACCGUAAACAAAGCAACGAUCAAAGAAAUGAGGUUUAAAAAUAAGGAAAAACAAGGACCGUCUGAUUCGUUUGUACAGUUACAGUAUAACCUGUGAUUGAAAAAAAAAAAAAUAAAUAAAAAACAUCUCUUCUUCUCUCUCUCUCUCGCAAUCGAUCUCAACCAACGCCAAUCCAAUUAAAAAUUAUUGUAAAUGUAAAAACCUAAUAAUAGAGUUUUUCUGGAUUUUCACGAAGGAAUUGCAUCGCCAGGUAAUGAAUUUGUUGAAGCAUACAUCUCCUAUGUUUCUGCCUUUUAAUUUAUCUGCUAUGUUCCUGGAGUCGUCGUGCUCCUGCCUUAUUACGAUUUGGACUUACAUGUUUGGUAGUGUCUUGUUUUCGUUGGGUUUCGUUAUUUCCAAACUUUCAGUGUGUCGGAGCCGGUUUAGUAGGCGUUUCAUUUGUUUCGCGAUGGGAUGAAGUGUUUUUUUUUAAACUUAUGAUGGGAUGAAGUUUCUAUUUAAGAUUGUAAUAUUUGUGGAGAUCUAUCUUUCCUCUAACCGCUUUGUUUGUUUUAGAUGUUGCAACUCAAGGAGCAAUAUUCAUGUUUACAACUACUCUAUUUGGCUUUUGUGGUCGCUUGCUUUCAGAGUUUUGUAAUAAAAUGUGCUUUUUUCUACAUGUGCAGUUGCCUUUUCUAUCCAAACUAUAAAUAAAAUAUGUCCAAUUACCAAGCGGAGGAGGAUGCUGCGUACAUGGACCAUGUUGAUGAUGAUAUGGAAGAUGUAGACGAUGAUCUAGAUGACAACUUUCAUGGUGAUGACAUGGCUGCAUCUGACUCCGAUGUCGACGAGUUUGACUACUCUGUAAGAAUAUAUAUGCCUCCAUAAUAAGUCUUAUGCAAAUUCGUUUUUGCCAUUCUUAAAUGCUUACCGUGAAAUGUACAACUACUAUAUAUAUAUAUAUAUAUAUAGUUUUUGUUACUAAAUUGUGUGGGUUUAUUUUGGUUAUAGAGUAAUAAAAUAGCAGAUACUUCAGCUGAGCAAGCCCGUAAAGGCAAAGACAUCCAGGGUAUUCCUUGGGAUAGGCUUAGCAUUACCAGAGAGAAAUACAGACAAACUAGACUAGACCAGUAUAAAAACUACGAAAAUGUCCCUAACUCUGGUAAUUCCUCCGGGAAAGUAAGUAAUAGUCUACCCAUUCUCUUAUCCCCUUUAGCUAUUGUCUGCUUGUUUCAUCAAUAAUAUUGGUUUCAACUUCAACUGUUACAUACUUAUUUAUCAUUUGCUUAAUGGCCUCUCAGGAUUGCAUGGUUACACAAAAAGGGGCCAUCUUUUAUGAUUUCUGGCGGAAUUCAAGAUCUAUCAAAUCAAGUAUCCUCCAUUUCCAGGUUUUCAUCCAAGCAUAUCUACCUUUUUUUUCUUACUCCAAUUGUUUUAGUCCGUAUGCAUAAUGGGGAUGUACAAAUUGCUGCAACUGUCAGCAUAAGUUAAAACAUAAAUGGAUUCUUGUUGUUCUAAAAAAGCUUCUAUGUGUACAUCUUUGUAUUGUAGUUGAGGAAUUUGGUAUGGGCAACUUCUAAGCAUGAUGUGUACCUCAUGUCACAAUUUUUAGUGAGCCAGUACUCUACUUUGACUUCUGGAAAGCAUGAAAUUCUCAAUGUUCAAGGCCAUGUUUCCCCAUCCGAGGUUUGCUUCCUUCUUCCAGAAUCAUCAGAGAUUCUUCUUCUAAAACCCACAUCAGUUAGUGGUUUUUUCUUGUGUGGGUGCAGAAACAUCCUGGAAGUUUGCUGGAGGGAUUUACGAAGACUCAAGUGAGUACGCUUGCAGUUAAAGAUAAAUUCUUAGUUGCUGGUGGAUUUCAAGGAGAACUUAUAUGCAAGGUAAACUCUAAAGUUCUUCCAAUUAUGGAUUACACAGACAUGCAAUCUAAUCAACUGUUUCCACAAUUGUUUGAUGCAGCAUCUUGAUAGACCUGGUGUGAGCUUCUGUUCCCGUACAACCUAUGACGAUAAUGCUAUCACCAAUGCAAUUGAGAUUUAUAACAAACCCAGGUAUCUGCUCCAUGUAGUUUUUUUUUGCUAGUUUCCAGCUUCUAACAUUCCCUUUGGCCUAUGUCUGUUUGUCUGCAGUGGUGCACUUCAUUUCACUGCCUCAAAUAAUGAUUGUGGAGUCAGAGACUUUGAUAUGGAGACAUAUCAGCUUGUUAACUACUUUCGCUUUCCUUGGCCAGUCAAUGUAAGUCUAUUCUUUUUUUGUUGAUUAUUAUUUUUUACACUGGCAUAAGUGUAUGUGUCACAUUAAGUUUGAGUAAUUUUUAUUGUCAGCACAUAUCUAUGAGCCCUGAUGGUAAAUUAUUGACUAUUGUGGGAGACAACCCGGAGGGUCUUCUCGUAGACCCCAACACUGGAAAGGUGCAGACACACUAUCUCUAUAUGAUCAACUCUUCUGAAUAAAUAACCAUGUUUGUCUUCUAACUCAGUUGGAUGUUUCCGACAGACACUGGAAACGCUAGCAGGACAUUUGGACUUUUCCUUUGCAUCAGCAUGGCACCCAGAUGGGCUCACGUUCUCUACAGGUAACCAAGACAAGACCUGUCGGGUUUGGGACAUUCGUAACCUGUCUAAAUCUGUUGCUGUCUUGAGGGGUAACCUUGGAGCAAUCCGAUCUAUCCGCUACACAUCUGAUGGGAAAUACAUGGCCAUGGCUGAGCCGGCUGACUUUGUCCAUGUCUACGAUGUCUCGAAGGGGUAUGAAACAGAGCAAGAGAUCGAUUUCUUUGGGGAGAUAUCGGGAAUUUCCUGCAGCCCUGACACGGAAGCGCUCUUCAUCGGUGUUUGGGACCGUACUUAUGGUAGUCUCCUUGAGUAUGGCCGCCACCACAACUACUCCUACCUCGAUUCAUUUAUGUAACCGUUCGAGCCAUCAGAAGAAUAAAAGAGCUUACCACAUGCCUGGUAUACACUUGCGUCCAAAUAAAAACAUUAUAAUCAAAUCUCCAAUGGUGUAAAUGAUGUGUUGUGCAAGUACUAGGGGUUUUCACAGAUAGUCUAUUUAGUUAGCUUUUGAGUGUUGACUGUUGAGGUUCGUGUAUUUGUACAUAAGUGUUUGAGUUUCAGCUUGAGUUUGCAUAAACUCUUUACUCUGGAUAGACCAGGAUGAAACAACACGAUCGCCUGUAGCUUAGUAUUUGGCUAUAAUCCAUUGUUAGGGACUCGUUUUCAUCCUUUUCUGCUGAUUUUGUGUUGUAUUCUAUUGGAUUGUAAACUUGUAUGGAUUAAAUUGAACGUUAAUAGAGUAGGGUCUUAUAAGGAGAACCGUCUAAACUAUGAGGGUUUUAACCCAAAAAGAAUUUGAUUUUGUGUUAAUCUCUGUAGUCUAAAUUGACAAAAGAAAACUUUGGGCGUUUUACAAAACAAAAUGUAUAUAUUGGGGCUUUAACGCAAAUAUUGCUUCUAGUAUGACUGUGAAAUGUAAGGCGCUUUACGGGAACAAGUCUAAACUAGGAGGGGCUGUAAGACAAAAUACUUGUCUGAAAUCUCAUAAUCCAAUACAAACCAAUGAGAGAAUGCCACAUCAUCAACCUUGAAUCCUAUCCUCACAAGCAAAAUCUUGUAUCGUCUCCUCCAAGAAGCCAAAAGUGAUCAUAAAUCCAAAACCACUCAUUCUCUCUUGCACUGAAACUCUCCAAAGAAUAAGAAGAUAACAUGGCGGCGACAAGCGCAUCUGCUUUGCUCUCACCAACAACUUUCUCCACCGUAAUCUCCCAGAAAAACCCAAACUCCAUCUCAUUCCACGGCCUUCGUCCUCUCCGACUCGGUGGCUCCUCCGCCUUACCAAAGCUAUCCACCACCUCCGGAAGAAGAUCUUCCUCCUCCGCCG